CCUACGGGAGGCAGCAGUAGGGAAUAUUGGACAAUGGGCGAAAGCCUGAUCCAGCAAUGCCGCGUGAGUGAUGAAGGCCUUAGGGUUGUAAAGCUCUUUUACCCGGGAUGAUAAUGACAGUACCGGGAGAAUAAGCUCCGGCUAACUCCGUGCCAGCAGCCGCGGUAAUACGGAGGGAGCUAGCGUUGUUCGGAAUUACUGGGCGUAAAGCGCACGUAGGCGGCUAUUCAAGUCAGAGGUGAAAGCCCGGGGCUCAACCCCGGAACUGCCUUUGAAACUAGAUAGCUUGAAUCCAGGAGAGGUGAGUGGAAUUCCGAGUGUAGAGGUGAAAUUCGUAGAUAUUCGGAAGAACACCAGUGGCGAAGGCGGCUCACUGGACUGGUAUUGACGCUGAGGUGCGAAAGCGUGGGGAGCAAACAGGAUUAGAUACCCCUGUAGUC
This 440-nucleotide ribosomal RNA is filed under the name Sphingobium yanoikuyae. Its description in RNAcentral is "bacterial SSU rRNA". It matches the Rfam family "Bacterial small subunit ribosomal RNA", at positions 338 to 795 of the family's 1533-position model. Lineage: Bacteria; Pseudomonadati; Pseudomonadota; Alphaproteobacteria; Sphingomonadales; Sphingobiaceae. The record is from RNAcentral.